RNAcentral lists this ribosomal RNA (720 nucleotides) under Chaetothyriales sp. A916. RNAcentral describes it as "SSU rRNA". It matches the Rfam family "Bacterial small subunit ribosomal RNA", at positions 258 to 1088 of the family's 1533-position model. Lineage: Eukaryota; Fungi; Ascomycota; Eurotiomycetes; Chaetothyriales. The record is from RNAcentral.
UAAGAAUCUAGCUCAAAUUCUAGUAGUCGAGACUGAGAGGUUGAUCGACCACAGUGGGUCUGAAAAAACCACGGCGAAUUGCACAGCAGUGAGGAAUUUUGGUCAAUGGCCUAACGGCUGAACCAGCAACUUGGAAGAAUGUAUAACGACUCUCUCGUAUAAAGUUCUAGAUAAAAAAAUGAUAAUGACAACUAUUUAUCUAUAAGUCUUGUCUAAAUUACGUGCCAGCAGACGCGGUAAUACGUAGAAGACUAGUGUUAUUCAUCUUUAAUGGGUUUAAAGGGUACCUAGACGGAAAAUCAAGCCAAAUAAAGGGACUAAUAUUCUAGAGUUUUAUAAAAGAAGAUGGAAUUUUCGGAGUAGAGUUGAAAUUCAGUUAUACGUGAAGACUGGUAACGGCGAAGGCAAUCUUCUAUGUAAAAACUGACGUUGAGGGACGAAGCCUAGGGUAACGAUAAGGAUUAGAGACCCUAAUAGUCCUAGGAGAAAAUUAUGAAUGUCAUAAGCUAGAUUAUUUUAGUUUAUAAAUGAAAGUGUAAGCAUUCCACCUCAUGAGUAAAGCGGCAACGCUCAAAUUGAAAUCAUUAGACCGUUUCUGAAACCAGUAGUGAAGUAUGUUAUUUAAUUCGAUGAUCCGCGAAUAACCUUACCACAAUUUGAAUAUUUUACAAGUGCUGCACGGCUGUCUUUAGCUAAUGUCGUGAGAUUUGGUUAACUCCU